UACGGAGGGGGCUAGCGUUGUUCGGAAUUACUGGGCGUAAAGCGCACGUAGGCGGCUUUGUAAGUUAGAGGUGAAAGCCCAGGGCUUAACCCUGGAAUUGCCUUUAAGACUGCAUCGCUAGAAUCGUGGAGAGGUGAGUGGAAUUCCGAGUGUAGAGGUGAAAUUCGUAGAUAUCAGGAGGAACACCGGUGGCGAAGGCGGCCAUCUGGACGACAACUGACGCUGAGGCGCGAAAGCGUGGGGAUCAAACAGGG
Molecule: ribosomal RNA, 254 nt
Filed under: uncultured bacterium
Lineage: Bacteria
Description: partial 16S ribosomal RNA
Rfam family: Bacterial small subunit ribosomal RNA
Source: RNAcentral